RNAcentral lists this long non-coding RNA (672 nucleotides) under Phoenix dactylifera (date palm). RNAcentral describes it as "long non-coding RNA (PDAC_LNC006894)". The record is from RNAcentral. Lineage: Eukaryota; Viridiplantae; Streptophyta; Magnoliopsida; Arecales; Arecaceae.
AGAAGUAUUGAAUUAGUCACGUUGUUUGUUGACAAUCAUUUUGUUUGGUUUUAGACUAAAACUUAGAUACCAAGCAAAUGGCGGAGUAGGGAGACUUGCAUGGUGUGCCACUGGCCUAUAGUUGGAACUUGAAGAAGAUGAGAUCGAGUACGAAUGUCUUGAAUCUUCAAAGACUUUUGAGAGUAACAGAAUGUUACCUAAAUCUACUGUAAAAACCAAAGUAAUAUAAAGAAGAUAAGAUAAAAGAGAUUUCAUUGUACUGAAAAAUAUUCUCUUUCAUAGUUACAACCUAAUAUUUAUAAGUGCUCUUAACUAAUAGAAUGAGUGUUAAUACUUAGCUUUCGACACUUGUUCUUACUAUUAUGUGCCACAUGGGCCAUUUUUGCCAAAGUAAGUAGUGCUUCUUUUCUUCUUACAUUAUGGGCAAUAAAAAUAUAGAAACACCACUACUCAUUUUGGAUAGUUAUCUUUGCUAUGGUGUGCUACAUGGGCCACUUUUGUCCCACUUGGUGGGUAUUGUUACUCUCCACAUCAUGGAUAGUGGAGAGAUGGGUAUUUUGAACACUUGUCAUUUUUAUUGUAUGCUACAUGGACCGCUAUUUUCAUCAAUGGUAAGUAAUGUGACCACUUAUUCCAUAUUAUGGGUAGUGAUAAUAGUUGGGUAGCCACCAU